Molecule: ribosomal RNA, 460 nt
Filed under: uncultured Anaerolineaceae bacterium
Lineage: Bacteria; Bacillati; Chloroflexota; Anaerolineae; Anaerolineales; Anaerolineaceae
Description: bacterial SSU rRNA
Rfam family: Bacterial small subunit ribosomal RNA
Source: RNAcentral
UGAAUUGAGGGCCCCGCACAAGCAGCGGAGCGUGUGGUUUAAUUCGAUGUUACACGAAGAACUUACCAGGGUUUGACAUGCAAGUGGUAGGAACCGAAAGGUGACCGACCCUUCGGGAGCUUGCACAGGUGCUGCAUGGCUGUCGUCAGCUCGUGUCGUGAGAUGUUCGGCUAAGUCCGCUAACGAGCGCAACCCUCGCUGUGUGUUACAAGUGUCACACGGAACUGCCGGUCAUAAACCGGAGGAAGGUGGGGAUGACGCCAAGUCAGCAUGGCCUUUAUAUCCUGGGCUACACACACGCUACAAUGGGAAGGGACAAUAGGUUGCGAAGCCGCGAGGCGGAGCCAAUCCAGCAAAACUUCCCUCAGUUCAGAUUGCAGGCUGCAACUCGCCUGCAUGAAGUUGGAGUUGCUAGUAAACGCAGGUCAGCCAUACUGCGUUGAAUACGUUCCCGGGGCUU